RNAcentral lists this ribosomal RNA (402 nucleotides) under uncultured prokaryote. Its description in RNAcentral is "bacterial SSU rRNA". It matches the Rfam family "Bacterial small subunit ribosomal RNA", at positions 355 to 774 of the family's 1533-position model. The record is from RNAcentral.
UAGGGAAUAUUGGUAAUCUGGGAAACCGGGAACCAGCAACGCCGCGUGCGCGAUGAAGACCUUCGGGUUGUAAAGCGCUUUUUGAGAGGAUGAGGAAGGACAGUACUCUUAGAAUAAGCCUCGGCUAACUACGUGCUAGCAGCCGCGGUAAGACGUAGGAGGCGGGCGUUAUCCGGAUGUACUGGGCGUAAAGCGUGUGUAGGCGGUUUGAUAAGUUGGAUGUGAAAGCUCCUGGCUUAACUGGGAGAGGUCGUUCAAAACUAUCAGACUUGAGAGUGGUAGAGGGAGGUGGAAUUCCGCAUGUAGUGGUGAAAUGCGUAGAUAUGCGGAGGAACACCAGUGGCGAAAGCGGCCUCCUGGCCCAUUUCUGACGCUCAGACACGAAAGCUAAGGUAGCAAACG